This 1270-nucleotide ribosomal RNA is filed under the name uncultured prokaryote. Its description in RNAcentral is "partial 16S ribosomal RNA". It matches the Rfam family "Bacterial small subunit ribosomal RNA", at positions 64 to 1334 of the family's 1533-position model. The record is from RNAcentral.
GGGGGGGGUAGGAGGAGCUUGCGUUUCCGCUGACGACCGGCGCACGGGUGCGUAACGCGUAUAGAACCUACCUUUUACAGGGGAAUAGCCCAGAGAAAUUUGGAUUAAUGCCCUAUAGUAUUGUUGAAUGGCAUCAUUUAAUAAUUAAACAUUUAUGGGUAAAAGAUGGCUAUGCGUUCUAUUAGCUAGAUGGUAAGGUAACGGCUUACCAUGGCAACGAUAGAUAGGGGUCCUGAGAGGGAGAUCCCCCACACUGGUACUGAGACACGGACCAGACUCCUACGGGAGGCAGCAGUGAGGAAUAUUGGACAAUGGAGGCAACUCUGAUCCAGCCAUGCCGCGUGCAGGAAGACUGCCCUAUGGGUUGUAAACUGCUUUUAUAUAGGAAGAAACAUCCCGACGUGUCGGGAUUUGACGGUACUAUAAGAAUAAGGACCGGCUAACUCCGUGCCAGCAGCCGCGGUAAUACGGAGGGUCCGAGCGUUAUCCGGAAUCAUUGGGUUUAAAGGGUCCGUAGGCGGGCUUCUAAGUCAGUGGUGAAAUCUUACGGCUCAACCGUAAAAUUGCCAUUGAUACUGGAAGUCUUGAAUUAGUGUGAAGUGGUUAGAAUGUGUAGUGUAGCGGUGAAAUGCAUAGAUAUUACACAGAAUACCAAUUGCGAAGGCAGAUCACUAACACUAUAUUGACGCUGAGGGACGAAAGCGUGGGGGGCGAACAGGAUUAAGAUACCCUGUAGUCCACGCCGUAAACGAUGGAUACUAGCUGUUCGGUCUUCGGACUGAGUGGCUAAGCGAAAGUGAUAAGUAUCCCACCUGGGGAGUACGUUCGCAAGAAUGAAACUCAAAGGAAUUGACGGGGGCCCGCACAAGCGGUGGAGCAUGUGUUUUAAUUCGAUGAUACGCGAGGAACCUUACCAGGGCUUAAAUGUAGAUUGACAGGUAUAGAGAUAGACUUUUCUUCGGACAAUUUACAAGGUGCUGCAUGGUUGUCGUCAGCUCGUGCCGUGAGGUGUCAGGUUAAGUCCUAUAACGAGCGCAACCCCUGUUGUUAGUUGCCAGCGAGUCAUGUCGGGAACUCUAACAAGACUGCCAGUGCGAACUGUGAGGAAGGUGGGGAUGACGUCAAAUCAUCACGGCCCUUACGUCCUGGGCUACACACGUGCUACAAUGGUAGGGACAGAGAGCAGCCACUGGGCGACCAGGAGCGAAUCUAUAAACCCUAUCACAGUUCGGAUCGGAGUCUGCAACUCGACUCCGUGAAGCUGGAAUCG